This 548-nucleotide ribosomal RNA is filed under the name uncultured bacterium. Its description in RNAcentral is "bacterial SSU rRNA". It matches the Rfam family "Bacterial small subunit ribosomal RNA", at positions 355 to 896 of the family's 1533-position model. The record is from RNAcentral.
UGGGGAAUAUUGCACAAUGGGCGCAAGCCUGAUGCAGCGACGCCGCGUGAGGGAUGGAGGCCUUCGGGUUGUAAACCUCUUUCGCCAGUGAAGCAGGCCUGUCCCUUUUGUGGGUGGGUUGACGGUAGCUGGAUAAGAAGCGCCGGCUAACUACGUGCCAGCAGCCGCGGUAAUACGUAGGGCGCGAGCGUUGUCCGGAAUUAUUGGGCGUAAAGAGCUUGUAGGCGGUUGGUCGCGUCUGCUGUGAAAGGCCGGGGCUUAACUCCGGUUUUGCAGUGGGUACGGGCUAACUAGAGUGCAGUAGGGGAGACUGGAAUUCCUGGUGUAGCGGUGGAAUGCACAGAUAUCAGGAGGAACACCGAUGGCGAAGGCAGGUCUCUGGGCUGUAACUGACGCUGAGAAGCGAAAGCAUGGGGAGCGAACAGGAUUAGAUACCCUGGUAGUCCAUGCCGUAAACGUUGGGCACUAGGUGUGGGGGACAUUCCACGUUUUCCGCGCCGUAGCUAACGCAUUAAGUGCCCCGCCUGGGGAGUACGGCCGCAAGGCUA